This 341-nucleotide ribosomal RNA is filed under the name Nematoda environmental sample. RNAcentral's name for it is "SSU rRNA". It matches the Rfam family "Eukaryotic small subunit ribosomal RNA", at positions 1300 to 1665 of the family's 1831-position model. Lineage: Eukaryota; Metazoa; Nematoda. The record is from RNAcentral.
GGUGGAGCGAUUUGUCUGGUUUAUUCUGAUAACGAAUGAGACUCUGGCCUACUAAAUAGUGACAGGAUUAUUACUGUCUUGGAUACUUCUUAGAGGGACAAGUGGUUUUCAGCCACACGAAAUUGAGCAAUAACAGGUCUGUGAUGCCCUUAGAUGUCCGGGGCUGCACGCGCGCUACACUGAAGGAAUCAGCGUGCUAAAACCAUUGUCGAAAGGCAUUGGUAAACCCAUUAAAAUCCUACGUGAUUGGGAUCGGGAAUUGCAAUUAUUUCCCUUGAACGAGGAAUUCCCAGUAAGUGUGGGUCAUAAGCUCGCGUUGAAUACGUCCCUGCCCUUUGUAC